This 703-nucleotide ribosomal RNA is filed under the name uncultured bacterium. RNAcentral describes it as "bacterial SSU rRNA". It matches the Rfam family "Bacterial small subunit ribosomal RNA", at positions 88 to 788 of the family's 1533-position model. The record is from RNAcentral.
CAGUCGAGCGGCGAACGGGUGAGUAACACGUGGAUUAUCUGCCCUGAGGUGGGGGAUAACCCGGGGAAACUCGGGCUAAUACCGCAUAUGACCGUGAGGUCAAAGGGGGCUCGCAAGAGCUCUCGCCAUAGGAGGAGUCCGCGUCCGAUUAGCUAGUUGGUAGGGUAAUGGCCUACCAAGGCGACGAUCGGUAGCCGGCCUGAGAGGGUGAUCGGCCACACUGGAACUGAGACACGGUCCAGACUCCUACGGGAGGCAGCAGUGGGGAAUUUUGCGCAAUGGGCUAACGCCUGACGCAGCAACGCCGCGUGGAGGAUGAAGGUCCUUGGAUUGUAAACUCCUGUCAGCAGGGAAAAAGCAACUUGACCUAAUACGUCAGGGAGUUGAUUGUACCUGCAGAGGAAGCCCCGGCUAACUCUGUGCCAGCAGCCGCGGUAAUACAGAGGGGGCAAGCGUUAUUCGGAAUUAUUGGGCGUAAAGGGCGCGUAGGCGGCCUGGCAAGUGGAAGGUGAAAUCCCUCGGCUUAACCGAGGAACUGCCUUCCAGACUGUUAGGCUUGAGACCGGGAGAGGUGAGUGGAAUUCCCAGUGUAGCGGUGAAAUGCGUAGAUAUUGGGAGGAACACCAGUGGCGAAGGCGGCUCACUGGACCGGUACUGACGCUGAGGCGCGAAAGCGUGGGGAGCAAACGGGAUUAGAUACCCC